RNAcentral lists this ribosomal RNA (940 nucleotides) under Pseudomonas aeruginosa. RNAcentral's name for it is "partial 23S ribosomal RNA". It matches the Rfam family "Bacterial large subunit ribosomal RNA", at positions 1290 to 2215 of the family's 2925-position model. The record is from RNAcentral. Lineage: Bacteria; Pseudomonadati; Pseudomonadota; Gammaproteobacteria; Pseudomonadales; Pseudomonadaceae.
GCGAAUGCUGACAUGAGUAACGACAAUGGGUGUGAAAAACACCCACGCCGAAAGACCAAGGGUUCCUGCGCAACGUUAAUCGACGCAGGGUUAGUCGGUUCCUAAGGCGAGGCUGAAAAGCGUAGUCGAUGGGAAACAGGUUAAUAUUCCUGUACUUCUGGUUACUGCGAUGGAGGGACGGAGAAGGCUAGGCCAGCUUGGCGUUGGUUGUCCAAGUUUAAGGUGGUAGGCUGAAAUCUUAGGUAAAUCCGGGGUUUCAAGGCCGAGAGCUGAUGACGAGUCGUCUUUUAGAUGACGAAGUGGUUGAUGCCAUGCUUCCAAGAAAAGCUUCUAAGCUUCAGGUAACCAGGAACCGUACCCCAAACCGACACAGGUGGUCGGGUAGAGAAUACCAAGGCGCUUGAGAGAACUCGGGUGAAGGAACUAGGCAAAAUGGCACCGUAACUUCGGGAGAAGGUGCGCCGGCUAGGGUGAAGGAUUUACUCCGUAAGCUCUGGCUGGUCGAAGAUACCAGGCCGCUGCGACUGUUUAUUAAAAACACAGCACUCUGCAAACACGAAAGUGGACGUAUAGGGUGUGACGCCUGCCCGGUGCCGGAAGGUUAAUUGAUGGGGUUAGCGCAAGCGAAGCUCUUGAUCGAAGCCCCGGUAAACGGCGGCCGUAACUAUAACGGUCCUAAGGUAGCGAAAUUCCUUGUCGGGUAAGUUCCGACCUGCACGAAUGGCGUAACGAUGGCGGCGCUGUCUCCACCCGAGACUCAGUGAAAUUGAAAUCGCUGUGAAGAUGCAGUGUAUCCGCGGCUAGACGGAAAGACCCCGUGAACCUUUACUGUAGCUUUGCACUGGACUUUGAGCCUGCUUGUGUAGGAUAGGUGGGAGGCUUUGAAGCGUGGACGCCAGUUCGCGUGGAGCCAUCCUUGAAAUACCACCCUGGCAUGCUU